Non-coding RNA from Jaminaea rosea, 117 nucleotides. The record is from the annotation of a RefSeq genome assembly. NCBI's taxonomy places the organism in Eukaryota, Fungi, Basidiomycota, Exobasidiomycetes, Microstromatales.
GGGCGUGUACGUCAGUGGUUAGACAGCUGGUCUUCGGCGCCUUUCUCGAUCGUUUCUCGAUGGAAAUCAGCUGUUUUAAGUUACCAGAAGCCGUCGGUUCGAAUCCGGCCUCGCCCU